Molecule: ribosomal RNA, 497 nt
Filed under: uncultured bacterium
Lineage: Bacteria
Description: partial 16S ribosomal RNA
Rfam family: Bacterial small subunit ribosomal RNA
Source: RNAcentral
GAUGAACGCUGGCGGCGUGCCUAAUACAUGCAAGUCGAGCGAACAGACGAGGAGCUUGCUCCUCUGACGUUAGCGGCGGACGGGUGAGUAACACGUGGAUAACCUACCUAUAAGACUGGGAUAACUUCGGGAAACCGGAGCUAAUACCGGAUAAUAUAUUGAACCGCAUGGUUCAAUAGUGAGAGACGGUUUUGCUGUCACUUAUAGAUGGAUCCGCGCCGCAUUAGCUAGUUGGUAAGGUAACGGCUUACCAAGGCAACGAUGCGUAGCCGACCUGAGAGGGUGAUCGGCCACACUGGAACUGCGACACGGACCAGACUCCUACGGGAGGCAGCAGUAGGGAAUCUUCCGCAAUGGGCGAAAGCCUGACGGAGCAACGCCGCGUGAGUGAUGAAGGCCUUCGGAUCGUAAAACUCUGUUACUAGGGAAGACCAAAUGUGUAAGUAACUAUGCACGUCUUGACGGUACCUAAUCAGAAAGCCACGGCUAACUACGUG